UUGCUUUGAUUUAACAUGUAAUUUAUAAAAACAAUAAUUCAGAAAUCGAGUAAGAAACUGUAUGACAGACCAAACUGACUAUAAAAUAAGAAUAUCGUCAUCUCGAAAACUCAAAACAAAACUCAAAACUCCUAACCUAGACUCUUUUCCUUUCUUUUCCCUCUAAUCUUUUUCCUUCUUUCUGUUACAGCUUUUCUUUUUCUUCCUGUUGCUUUCUCCCUAUUUUUUGUUUUCUCUCUAUUUCUUCUUUUCUCAAAUUUUUGUUGUUCUGUCCGUGUGUGUAUCUUCUGUCUUUUUUGAUCAGUGUCUGAUCUUUAUUUUUCAGUCUCUGUGUGUCAAAGUACAUCUUCCCCCAGUGUCUGAUGUAGUGUACGUAGUUUAAAGUACAUCUUCCCCAGUGUCUGAUGUAG
Molecule: long non-coding RNA, 410 nt
Filed under: Capsicum annuum
Lineage: Eukaryota; Viridiplantae; Streptophyta; Magnoliopsida; Solanales; Solanaceae
Description: long non-coding RNA (CANN_LNC000371)
Source: RNAcentral